Molecule: microRNA, 22 nt
Filed under: Dasypus novemcinctus (nine-banded armadillo)
Lineage: Eukaryota; Metazoa; Chordata; Mammalia; Cingulata; Dasypodidae
Description: dno-miR-12086-5p
Source: miRBase by way of RNAcentral
CUUUCGGCGCCUAGGAUUCGGU